UGAACACAAUCACACCAAAGGAAAUCGCAGAGAAUCACAUUGAUCUACUAAAAUGUGUUUAGUGUUAUGAAUAAUGACCCGUGUUCGAUCUGUAGCCCCUAUCAAUCAAUUCAACAUUAAACGCAGCACACACUAAAAGUAGUCACUUAUUAUUUAGGACAGAAAUGUCGGCGCUGAGUGAUGACGUCAGUCUCAAACAUCAGCUAUGGCAGCUCAUGCGAGUGAGCUGGAGAUUGCAAAGAAGAAUCUAACUGAUGCGAUCGGCGAUAACAUCAAACACUACUGGGCCAACCUGAAGCUCUGGUUCAAACAGAAGAUCAGCAAGGAGGAGUUUGACAUCGAAGCACGUCGUCUUCUGUCCCAGGAUAACGUUCACGUUCACAAUGAUUUCCUCCUGGCCAUCCUCACACGGUGCCAGAUCAUCAUCUCCACGCCGGAGGGACCAGGGUCUUUACAGUGGCCUGGUGGCCCUGCGGCCAAGCCGUGCAAGCCCAAAGGGAAGAAGAAAUUGUCUUCCAGACAAAAGUUUGAUCAUCGCUUCCAGCCCCAGAACCCUCUGAGUGCCGCCCAGCCCUUCAGCCCCCGGGAGGCGGGCCCGGGCGGGGAGGAGGAGGAGCAGGUCCGGCUGAGUGCCCACACCCUGCUCCUCCCCACCCGGGGCCAGCUGGAGGCCAGGAUGAUGGUGACGGCCUUCGAGCUGGGUCUGGACAACGUCACAGAGGACUCGGUCAGCACCAUGAUCUACGCCGUCGAGCACCAUCUGAAAGACGUCCUGACUGCGGUGGUCACGCGGAGGAAGGCCUACCGCCUGCGUGACGGCCAUUUCCCCUACGCGUUCGGCACUGAGGUCACGCCGCGGCCGUACCUCCAGAACAGCCUGGCGGCCUACCAGAGCGUCUCUGAUUGUUCACAGAUGACAAGUUCUCAUCUUCUUGAAUUCCGGCCAAUAACUGCGCCCCCUCCACAGCCCUCCCCCAAGCGCCUCUCUACCAGCGGGGCCCCCACCCCAAGUGGCCCCUGACGAGGCAGAGCAGCAAGCUGUUCUCCUAUUGGCCUGUUCCUCUGACACUGUCCCUGUGCCCCUCCCUCCAAUCAGCAUGUUUGAUCUACUGGAGGCUUUACAGGUCCACCGUGGGGUGAUGCCGUCCCACACUAUGUACGCCCUCAACAUGGAGCGUAUCCUGGCCCGCCUGUGGCACCCCAGCAUCGAGGAGCUGGAGCAGGACCACGUGCACCGCCAGCGCCUGGCCGGCAAGGAGGGCCUCCUGCUGGGCAGCUGAGCCGGCCUGAGACCCCCCCCCCCUCCAGGGACGUCAGCUGAUGAUACUAAUGUUGUAAAUAAUGGGUGACCUGUAAGUGUUGGCACAUGCCGUGUUAUAGGAAAGACCCACUUGUGUACCUAAUGAGCAGGUAAAGGUAUCCUUCACCACACCUGGCAGGUGUAGUCGGGGUGUGUGUCUGUGUAUAUAUAUAUAUAUGUGUAAGUGUGAUUUCCAUGACAGACAAUAGAUUUAGAUUUACAUGAGCUGCAUUGAUCAAUUCGGGCAUCACUUGAAACAUGGUGAUUAUGGUGUCUACUUCUAUAUAUAUAUACACCAGUCACUUCACUAGUUGUACGGGUGUGGUCUAAAUGGGUGUAAAUACAUGUAUGUUGUGUAAAGGCAAAAUGCCCUUCCAUUUAGUUGCCUACUAAAAUCCAGUACAGCUAAGAUUAUUUUUUUGUAGACGUUUUGUAUAUAUAUCAUUCAUGAUGCAUCUUGUAUCAGGAACAUGUUUUUUUUAUUUUCAGUACAAUUACUUUGGAAUAAAAGCUCUUCGACUUGG
Molecule: RNA transcript, 1824 nt
Organism: Gadus morhua (Atlantic cod)
Lineage: Eukaryota; Metazoa; Chordata; Actinopteri; Gadiformes; Gadidae
Gene: tada1
Gene name: transcriptional adaptor 1
Exons: 8
Source: RefSeq, a predicted model, not a curated record